This 564-nucleotide ribosomal RNA is filed under the name Desulfovibrio sp. 49MC. RNAcentral describes it as "bacterial SSU rRNA". It matches the Rfam family "Bacterial small subunit ribosomal RNA", at positions 352 to 909 of the family's 1533-position model. The record is from RNAcentral. Lineage: Bacteria; Pseudomonadati; Thermodesulfobacteriota; Desulfovibrionia; Desulfovibrionales; Desulfovibrionaceae.
CAGUGGGGAAUAUUGCGCAAUGGACGAAAGUCUGACGCAGCGACGCCGCGUGGAGGAUGAAGGUUUUCGGAUCGUAAACUCCUGUCAAGAGGGAAGAAACCUAUUAAGAAUAAUACUCUUAGUAAUUGACGGUACCUCUAGAGGAAGCACCGGCUAAUUCAGUGCCAGCAGCCGCGGUAAUACUGAAGGUGCAAGCGUUAAUCGGAAUCACUGGGCGUAAAGCGCUCGUAGGUGGCUUUGUAAGUCAGAUGUGAAAGCCCACGGCUCAACCGUGGAAUUGCAUUUGAUACUGCAUCGCUAGAGUAUAGGAGAGGGAAGUGGAAUUUCUGGUGUAGGAGUGAAAUCCGUAGAGAUCAGAAGGAACACCGGUGGCGAAGGCGACUUCCUGGACUAUUACUGACACUGAGGAGCGAAAGCGUGGGGAGCAAACAGGAUUAGAUACCCUGGUAGUCCACGCCGUAAACGAUGGGUACUAAGUGUCGGAGGCUUGACCUUCGGUGCUGUAGUUAACGCGUUAAGUACCCCGCCUGGGGAGUACGGUCGCAAGGCUGAAACUCAAAGGAA